RNAcentral lists this long non-coding RNA (617 nucleotides) under Brassica napus (rape). RNAcentral's name for it is "long non-coding RNA (BNAP_LNC019522)". Lineage: Eukaryota; Viridiplantae; Streptophyta; Magnoliopsida; Brassicales; Brassicaceae. The record is from RNAcentral.
GGGUUUAGGGUUUAGGGUUUAGUGAUUAGGAUUUAGGGUUUAGUGUUAUUAAAAUUUAGUUUUUAAUGUAUGAUUUAGGAUUUAAGAUUUUCCAACGAUUUAGAGUUUAUCCAAAGUUUAAGGUUUAACGUUUAGGAUUUAGGGUUUAGUAUUUAGGGUAUAGGGUUUAGUAUUUUUCUGAAGACUUAACAAUAUUAAUUUAUUUGUUUUUGUAACUAUUUUUAUGUAUUUUUAUUAUUUUAUUCUAUAAAUAUAAUCUAAUUUGGAUAUUUAAUUUUAUUACCGUUUUUAAAAAAUAGCAAAUAUUCAAACACUAUUGGAAGGUCAACCUCGGAAUGAACCCAAUAAUUUUUCAUAUAAGACACUGUUGUCUUUGUUUUAACGUGGAGAGACACUUCUAGCAUUUAAGACAUUUUAUCUGAACAGCUGGCAGUUUUUGGACAAAUUUGUCCUCACGAAUCACUGCUUUAAUAUACUUGGUUCGGUAAAAGUAACUACUUAUUUCUGGUUAGCUGAAAUGUAGUGACUUUGGUUUGGUUAUUAAAACUAAAGCAGGUUGGUAUAUGAGAAGUUGUGUAAUAAUUUUAGUCCCAAAUUUUAAAAUUCGUAAAGGGUUG